Molecule: ribosomal RNA, 500 nt
Filed under: uncultured bacterium
Lineage: Bacteria
Description: bacterial SSU rRNA
Rfam family: Bacterial small subunit ribosomal RNA
Source: RNAcentral
GAUCAUGGCUCAGGAUGAACGCUAGCGACAGGCUUAACACAUGCAAGUCGAGGGGCAGCGAGGGCGUAGCAAUACGCCUGUCGGCGACCGGCGCACUGGUGAGUAACACGUAUGCGACCUGCCCCCUACAGGGGUAUAACCCGUAGAAAUGCGGACUAAUCCCCCAUAGUCCUGGGUGCUGCAUGGCAUUCAGGGGAAAGGCCAGCCGGUAGGGGAUGGGCAUGCGGCGCAUUAGCUAGUUGGCGGGGCAACGGCCCACCAAGGCGACGAUGCGUAGGGGUUCUGAGAGGAAGGUCCCCCACACUGGUACUGAGACACGGACCAGACUCCUACGGGAGGCAGCAGUGAGGAAUAUUGGUCAAUGGGCGCAGGCCUGAACCAGCCAAGUCGCGUGAGGGAUGACGGUCCUACGGAUUGUAAACCUCUUUUGUCGGGGAGUAACGUGCGGGACGGGUCCCGUAUUGAGAGUACCCGAAGAAAAAGCAUCGGCUAACUCCGUG